RNAcentral lists this ribosomal RNA (301 nucleotides) under uncultured bacterium. Its description in RNAcentral is "partial 16S ribosomal RNA". It matches the Rfam family "Bacterial small subunit ribosomal RNA", at positions 509 to 808 of the family's 1533-position model. The record is from RNAcentral.
CAGCAGCGCGGUAAUACGUAGGUGGCAAGCGUUGUCCGGAAUUAUUGGGCGUAAAGGGCUCGCAGGCGGUUUCUUAAGUCUGAUGUGAAAGCCCCCGGCUCAACCGGGGAGGGUCAUUGGAAACUGGGAAACUUGAGUGCAGAAGAGGAGAGUGGAAUUCCACGUGUAGCGGUGAAAUGCGUAGAGAUGUGGAGGAACACCAGUGGCGAAGGCGACUCUCUGGUCCGUAACUGACGCUGAGGAGCGAAAGCGUGGGGAGCGAACAGGAUUAGAUACCCGCGUAGUCCCUGUCUCUUAUACA